Molecule: ribosomal RNA, 363 nt
Filed under: uncultured eukaryote
Lineage: Eukaryota
Description: partial 18S ribosomal RNA
Rfam family: Eukaryotic small subunit ribosomal RNA
Source: RNAcentral
CAAUAGCGUAUACUAAUGUUGUUGCAGUUAAAAAGCUCGUAGUUGAACUUCUGGUAGGAGUGUCCCGGCCUUUUUGUUUUUACAAAUUGUAUGCUGUGUGACAUCUCUGGCCAUCCUUCUUCUUUGUUUAAAGAAGAUCUUUCACUGUAAAAAAAUCAGGGUGUUCAAAGCAAAAGUUUCUUUGGAAUAUAUUAGUAUGGGAUGAUAAGAUAGGCUCUAGAUGCUAUUUUGUUGGUUUGCACAUUUAGAGAAUGAUUAACAGGGACAGUUGGGGGUAUUCGUAUUUACAUGUCAGAGGUGAAAUUCUUGGAUUUUGGAAAGACGAACUACUGCGAAAGCAUUUACCAAGGAUGUUUUCAUUAA